Non-coding RNA from Stereum hirsutum FP-91666 SS1, 100 nucleotides. NCBI's taxonomy places the organism in Eukaryota, Fungi, Basidiomycota, Agaricomycetes, Russulales, Stereaceae. The record is from the annotation of a RefSeq genome assembly.
AGCUCGAUAGCGCAACGGUAGCGCGUCUCUGCCCACAUAUCUUACCGCAGGUAAAGCAAUUGUUGACAGGAAGAUCUCGGUUCGACUCCGAGUCUGGCUA